This 728-nucleotide small RNA is filed under the name Histoplasma ohiense. RNAcentral describes it as "hypothetical lncRNA". Lineage: Eukaryota; Fungi; Ascomycota; Eurotiomycetes; Onygenales; Ajellomycetaceae. The record is from RNAcentral.
UGCAUAGCUAGACGCGGUUGAUCUAGCGGUGCUAUCGCGACCAUGUCUUUCAGAGGAAUGGGUGGAUGAAGCAGGGGCGUGAUGGUCAUCUACGUUUACUCGACCAAUUCCUCGAUCGUCACCUCGGGAAGUGUGAGGAGUAGUAGUGGAAGACGACUUGCGCCUGGAGCUUGAAGAAGAAGAAGAGGGGUGGUCGUGGUCACCUCUGCGACGGCGGGGAGAAGACGAAGAAAUGGUGGAAACGUCAUCAGAGUCUCUCUGACGGCGGCGGGACUUGGAGGAGCUGGUAGAGGAGACCGGAGGAUCGGUAACCUUUCCGAGCAGGCUGCGCAGCAUUAUGAAAGAGUGGUGAGUAUCAUGUCAGUAGGGAUUGAGUAAGUUCAAGUGAUAUUUGGAGUAUCGUAGAUCCAGAAGAGAAGGUAGAUAUGGUUAUAUAUGUCCUCCAGCAGUUGGUUGUUGUUGUUGUUUGUUGUUUACCAGGGAAGCAUUUAGCGCAGGAUCUUAGUUAGGGCUCCAAAACCCCGAACCGAGGAGGAAGUUUGGUUGGCAGAUAAGGUGGCUAGGGAUCCUUGGGAAUGGCCCGUAUGGACCAAAGUUAACCACAAAUACAGCUAUCACUUAUGUCGUAAACAGUCAUAGACCCAUCAGAAGGGGGUAAAACGAUAAAUAUACACAAGAAAGGGAUCGGGGACGUGGAGAGGUAUGGUGGAUGGAGAUGGAGAUGGAGU